UGGUGUGUGUUCAUUGGCGUUACGCACUCUGGGCAACGAACCACUGUUGCUUGCCUCGGGCACCCUCUGUGCCUGCAACAGUUUUGGCGUCCCUGGGGGGGCUCGAGGCUAAAAUCAACCUUGCCUGGACCCCUCUUGGUGGCCGACGGAUCGCGGCAAUGACCGACGCCCAGUGCACACCGAUGACUUCACCGGGGGCCUUGGCGGAGACGCGGUGUGAGCAACCCCAGAGGGCACAACGGUGCAACACGCUCGAGUACUGGAGAAGCAGUUGCGGGCGACGGUGAGGAACCGGUCCCUUGGAUAAGGUUAAAAGAAGCCAAGAAGGGAAAAAGGAUAAAGAACAGAAUGAGUUAAUGGGAAAAAAAAUAAUUAGCUAGCAAGCUUGGGCUAUAGAUAAGACAUUGACUCCAUUCAAGGACACUGCUCACAGUUAAGACUUGGCUAACAACCAGGAAAAGGAGGGCUUGAAUUUGCCCACGCAGCUAUAAGGUUUGCAAAACACGGCCAUGCACUAAUGAAAUGUGUUAGGUUUCUUUUCUCACAGGUAAGGAAGUUCUACCGGAAGACCCUAGCAGCCCUGCCACUCUUUGGAACCAGGAAACUGGAUUGAUGUAAAGGUCCACCAACGAAAGACUGCUUUGGCUCCACGCUGAAAAGAUCCUUAUUAAGCCCUGCUGACUACCAACACUGCUGUGAAGUGCCAAAGGCUGACUGCUUGGACCCAUGAUUCUCACUGCAAAAAGACCCCUCCACCUCG
This is a non-coding RNA of Chelonoidis abingdonii (Abingdon island giant tortoise), 760 nucleotides long. The record is from RefSeq and is a predicted model, not a curated record. NCBI's taxonomy places the organism in Eukaryota, Metazoa, Chordata, Testudines, Testudinidae.